UUUGUGGAUUGGGGCUAAGAGAGGAAAAGGAUUAUGGGAGGCCAGAGGCGGUCUCAGGCCCUGCCCAGUUUCCUGUCACUCAGCUGAGUCCUCCCUGAGAGGGAAACCAGGCAAACCAGACACAGAAUCACAGCUCAGUGACCCAAACCAGGUGCCAAUUUUCUACUCAGUCCUUUCUUUGCUUCUCAAAUUGCAGCAUUUAAUGAGGUAAAACAUCAGAUUAUGGAGAACUUUUUUUUUUUUUUUUAAUGAGAAUUCAGGGAAGUUUCUAGGUUGGCUGAGAAGUAUGAAAGUAUUUAACCUCUGCUCAGAGAACUGCUCUUUAUUAACAUUUUCCCUUCCACUGUAGCUCGCAAAACUGCACUUUCUCAAACAAGUUCACCAUUUGGCGUUUGGAUCUGGUUAUAGCCAGACGGUGGGUAUCACUGUUACAAAUCAGCCUGGAGCUUGAUUUAAGCACCAGCAGGUUUUUCAGGGAAAACACUUGUGGGAAGAAAGAAGAGCCAAACGGUGCUGUUCUGAGAAGAAGUGGCCACUUGGACAGCAGAGGAUGCGGAGGGUGUUCCCCUCCCCUGUUUUUAACGGCUCAGGGAUUGCAUGGAGGCCCACUCUUUGGGAAGGAUGAUCCAGGAUGUAGUCCAUGAAUCCCACUGAAGAGUGGCUUUUUGAGCAGUGACACAAGGAGGAUUGGUCCGGGACCAUGAAGUCAGCAGCAUUGGUGUGGACCUCGAUGUUUCUGAAGCUGAGGACACACCAAGGACAUAGGGAACAAAGGGAGAAGGAAGAGAGAAAGCCAGACUGGAAAUGAAGGCUUGUAGCAGGUCACCAUGGGUUUAAGGGCCAACAUAACCAGAGGACAGAGGAGCCCAGCAGAGCCUAAAGCUGCCCCAGGAUCCAGCAUCACCCUGACCUCUCUUCCUGGACUCAGCAGCCUUUCACAGUUAGGACUCUGAAGGGACCUAACUCCUGCCUUGGGAUCGAACUUGGGUCCUUGCACUUGCGCAGCAGGCAACAAAACCACUGAGCUAAAUCCCCGGCCUCUACAUUCCCUCUUAAAGCAGCUUCACAGAAGAAGUCCUGGAAACACAGAGACCCUGAGAUGACCACGUGGGGAGGAAGCCUGCCAUAGCCACAGACAGAGGCCACAGGGAGGAAUGACCAAGUUUCAGACAUGCAAAUGAAGCCACGAACCUUCCAGCAAGCGUAGCUGCAAGUGAAUUCAACUGAAUGAGUGAUCGUAGCCAAUGAAAAAAAAGAGCAGAAGACUCAUCCAGCUGACCUUACUAAAUCCACACAAUUGUGGGAAAGGAAGGGUAAAACAUGGCACUCUUAAACCACUAAGCUUUGGGGUGAUUUGUUACGCAGCAGUGCAUGAUGGAAACGCAGUAACAUGCUUUUUUCCUGUUAUUCAAUGUUUUAUACAAUUUCUCAGUUCUUUAACCUUAAGAAUCAAAAUAAAAGCAAAAGUAUGUAAAGUAGUCAUAGACUAUUUCAGACAGAUAUUAAAUGAGAAACAGGAAAUCCGAUUACAUUACCUGUCUGCUCUUAACCUCCACUCACUCUGCUCUUAACCUGUCACUCAGAACGGAAGGCCCAUGUGAUCUGUUCUCUUGCCCCUGACUCGGCUCCCACUGUUCAUUGCCUUUGGUGUUCUUUGAAUAUCAUGGGCAUGGUUCACCUUAGGCAUUUGCAUCUGCUGUUCCCUGUGCCUGGAGUGUUCCUUUUAUAGACAAAUUCAUGACAUAAAUUUCUCACCUUCUCUAGCUCUUUAUUCAUUUGUUACUUUAGUAAUGAAGCCUCCCCUAACCUCAUUUAAAAUCACUAAUCUCCCUUUUUCUGACCUGUAUUCCUUGCCUUGCUUUAUGUUUUUCCAUAGUCAUUCCCAUUUAGUGUACUGUUAUUGUUCAUCUUAAGAGUUCUUGCUUGGUUUUUUUUUUUAACUGUUACAGAUCUAGAACUUGAAAGUGUGUGGCAGUUAAGUGAAUGAAUGAAUUUUCUAAUAUGCGAAGUCUCACCUCUCCUGGUUUCAGGCUGAUGUGUGCUAGACAGCCUUCUCUGCUGGCAAGGUACAGCACUGCAGUCCAGCUCUGUUAAACAAGAAGAGGGAAUCACAGUGCGUGCUUAAGAAAACUUCAAGUUUAUGGACUAGAAGUCAACAAGCUUCCUGCAAAUGGCCAGACACAAAAUAUUUUAAGCUAUGUGAGCCCUCUGGUCUCUGCACAAGUAUUCAACUCUGUCCUUGUACCAUGGAGGCAGGUAUCAGCCGUGUGUAAACAAAUGAGUGUGGUGGUAUUCUUGUAUUUGUUAGCAAUGAAAUUUGAAUUUCAUAUAAUUUUAUAUGUCACGAAAUUUCUUUCUUUCUUCAAUUUUUUCCACAACUGAAAAAUGUAAAAACCAGUCUGGGCUUGCAGGCCAUAUAAAAAUAGAUGAAGAACCACAUUUGGCCCACAGGCUGUGGUUUGCUGAACAUUGCUAUUGACAAUCUCCAAGUGACCCAAAGUGUGGGAGAAGAAUUCAAUUUUGAAGGCAAACGACCAUAAGACUGUUCAUUUUUAAAGAAGUAUUAUUCAUAAUAUGACUUCAUGAAUAUUCAUAGUGAUUUCUGCAUUCCAGGCACUUUCAUAGCCAAUGUGCAUGGGUGAGAAAGUAUCAGGCACUGGCCAAGUGAAAAGAAUCAGUCUUUAGGCUCAGAAUGCCAAAUCUAUUAACUAGUUCAUGCUCCCUUCCUCUGAGAGAUGACAGGUGUGGGAAGGAUCUAUGAUACGCCAUCACAGAUAGGGUAACACAGGAAUCGGACUGAUGGGGGUGCUAAAAAGGAAAAGCCCAUGAAUGUAUCCUUUAGAUGGGCCAAUUAGCUCUGAUGGAUCUCUUGGAUGAAGUUUCAAUCCUUGUACCAGAUAGCUAUUAUAUCAGCCAGGGUUCUUCAGAGAAACAGAGCAAAUAGGAUAUAGAUUUAAUUACGAUGAAUUGACUCACAUGAUUAUGGAGGCGGAGAAGUCCCAUGGUCUGCUGUCUGUAAUUUGGAGACUCAACAAAGCCAGUUGUGUAAAUUCCAGUUCAAGUCCAAAGGCCUGAGAAUCAGAAAAGCCAAUGCUAUAACUCCCAGGCCAAGGAUAGAAAACCAAUGUCCCAGCGCUAGCAGUCAGGCAAAGAGCAAACUCAACCUCUCUUCACCUUUCUGUUCUAUUCAGGCUCUCAAAGGACUGGAUGACACCCGCUUACAUUGGAAGGACAUUCUGCUUUACCGAGGCCACCCAUUCUGAUGCUAACCACACAAACACAAAUACACACACACACACACACACACACACACACGCACGCACGCAACUUAACUGUUUGGGCAUCCCAUGGCCCAGUCAAGUUGACACCCUAAAUUAACCACUAAGCCUUCUCAUGUAGGUAGGAAAGCUUUGAAGGACGUGGAUGCUCAAAGGAGAACCAGUUCAAUCCCAGUUUCUUUCUGACCACAGAGUGAGCCACUUCAGGAAUCGAACUACCAGACAAUGUUGAGCUGAGUGUUGUGCUACAUGCCUGUAAUCCCAGCAGGCUUGGAGGUCAAGGAUUCCAAAGCCCAUCUUGGGCGACUUAGUGAGACUGUCUCAAAACAUAGACAGUGCUAGGGAGCAAAGACUCUGGGUUCAAUCCUCUCCACCACCGCUAUCACUGCUACGACCUCCACCACCACCACCACCCAGAUAGUGUUAAUGUCUUUGAAUAUGCUCAUAUCUACCAACUUAGAUACUCAUCUUUUUUUGUGGUGAGAACAUUAAAGAUACAUUCUCUUGGCAAACGUGAUCUUGAUUAUGUAGGAAUUGUGUUAGCUUUUCAUUGCUGUGACAAAAUACCUGAGAAUAACAACUUAAAGAGGAGAGCUUUAUUUCAGCUCAAAGUUCCAGAGAUUUCGGUCCAGUGGCCCCAUUGCUGUGGGCUGUGAGGAGGUUAAAGCUGCUCAUCUUAUGGAGGUCAGCAAGCAGAGAGAGAGAGGGGAAGAACCUGCGAGGGGCCAGGGACAGGACAUAAUCCAUAGUCCCGCAGGUCACACCUCUCAUGAUCCACUCCAUUCAACUAGGUCCCACGUCCUAUUUCCAUCACCUCCCAAUAAUGUCACGAAAUUAUUCUCAUCAGUGGUUUAAUCCACUUGAUGAAGUUAGAACCCUUAUGAUCCAACCGCUUCCCAAAAGCUCAUCACCUGGCAACCAAGCCUUCAACACAAUGAGCCUUUUGGGGACAUUAAAGAUCUCACUCAUAGCAGUAAUUUAUUAUGUCAAUUCCAAAACUAGUAAAAAUCCAUUUAGAAAAACAAACCGAAACAACAACAACAACAACAACAGCAGCAGAGAGUAGGAAAGCUCCCCUGUAUCUUUGGUGCCCUAUCUUUUGCUCUUUAUAUCUGACUUUUUGUUGUGGUGGUGUUUUAAUUUCAGCUCUCCCUUUUAAACUAUAUUUUCCACAUUGGUCAGAUCCUUGAGAGUGAAAGAAAAAGGUACCCUAUAUUCAUGUGUGGAGAUUUCCCCCUUCCCUUCUACUUCUUUUCCUUUCCCUGCCCUCUCAGGAGAAAAAAGCCCCCAAACAGAAAAAUAAACAAAAAUACAGUUCAUCGAAAGAAAAGUGAUAAAAAUAAUACAUGUUUUCACCGUCAAGAAAUUAUCUUUGUUCUGAGUUUCACUCCCCACACAGAAAAAGAAAAGAAAGAAAGAAAUCAUUAAGCUUUUUCUUUCCACAUUUAAAAAAAAAAAAUUACCUUACCAUAUACAACCUUUGGAACUUAAUUUCUCACUUUGUUAAUGUGUCUGACAAAUCUUUCCUUGCU
Molecule: long non-coding RNA, 4810 nt
Filed under: Heterocephalus glaber (naked mole-rat)
Lineage: Eukaryota; Metazoa; Chordata; Mammalia; Rodentia; Bathyergidae
Description: lncRNA (ENSHGLG00100041388.1)
Source: RNAcentral